This 492-nucleotide ribosomal RNA is filed under the name uncultured bacterium. RNAcentral's name for it is "partial 16S ribosomal RNA". It matches the Rfam family "Bacterial small subunit ribosomal RNA", at positions 29 to 507 of the family's 1533-position model. The record is from RNAcentral.
AGUGAACGCUGGCGGUAGGCCUAACACAUGCAAGUCGAACGGCAGCACAGUAAGAGCUUGCUCUUACGGGUGGCGAGUGGCGGACGGGUGAGGAAUACAUCGGAAUCUACUUUUUCGUGGGGGAUAACGUAGGGAAACUUACGCUAAUACCGCAUACGACCUACGGGUGAAAGCAGGGGAUCUUCGGACCUUGCGCGAUUGAAUGAGCCGAUGUCGGAUUAGCUAGUUGGCGGGGUAAAGGCCCACCAAGGCGACGAUCCGUAGCUGGUCUGAGAGGAUGAUCAGCCACACUGGAACUGAGACACGGUCCAGACUCCUACGGGAGGCAGCAGUGGGGAAUAUUGGACAAUGGGCGCAAGCCUGAUCAAGCCAUACCGCGUGGGGGAAGAAGGCCUUCGGGUUGUAAAGCCCUUUUGUUGGGAAAGAAAAGCAGCAGGUUAAUACCGCGCUGUUCUGACGGUACCCAAAGAAUAAGCACCGGCUAACUUCGUG